RNAcentral lists this long non-coding RNA (21407 nucleotides) under Populus tremula. RNAcentral describes it as "long non-coding RNA (PTRE_LNC002867)". The record is from RNAcentral. Lineage: Eukaryota; Viridiplantae; Streptophyta; Magnoliopsida; Malpighiales; Salicaceae.
ACUCAAAUGCCAAGUCAGGAAAGAAACGGAACUUUAUUCAGUACUUCAACUCAGCAUUGGAAAAUAAUGAUCUUUUUGGAAUUUUGGAUUUUCAACCAGCUGAUGAAGCUGAGAUGGAUGAGAUUGAAGCUGUUGCUGAGCUUGCUAAAAGAUGUCUGAAUAGCAUAGGAGUAAACCGCCCAUCCAUGAAGGAAGUGUCAGAGGAGCUUGCUAAGCUGAAAUCCCUUAAUCAGAAAUCAUGGGCCCAGCAAAAUAGCGAUGAGACAGAGCACUUGCUAGGCCAAUCAUCACAAUCUUUCCGCAACAACGCAAGUCCUCCAACGAGUCAAUCCCAAACUGUCAUAUCCUUCGAGAUUGAAAACUACACCGAUAGCAUUUAAAAUUGGAAUUCGCCAAGGAAACAUGCUGCACUUUCGGAAGGCCAAGAAAUUGUUGUCAAGCGUGUACUAAAUAGUUUGUUUGAUUAAGUUGCAGCUUUAUUGGUAGUGAUUGAGUAUUAUUGUCUCCAGGAUCCUGUAAGCUUAACAUGUUUCUGGAUUUAUCAUUUCUUUUUUCAUCAUGUAAAGUAAAAAUUGUGGGUUUACAGGAUAAAGAUCAUAAUAAAGCGAUUAAUUUACCUUGCAUGGUAGAUUUUGUGGAACCAUGGACCGAAAUGCCAUUCCUGAGAUGUGAUAUAAAGAUCAUAAUAAAGCGAUCAACAUGAUUUAGGACGAUACUAGACCAAUUCAACGUAGCACUUAAUUUGGACUUUGUGAUUGUAGCGGACUUUCUGGACUUCAAUAAGGAAUGCAUCUUAGGUUCACUUAUUCAAGGACUUGCAUUCUCAUGGAGAGGAGUGAUGAUUUGCCUGGCUAAGAUUAUAUCUCCACUAUUUUUCUGACCGCACAAGCAUUCAUGAAGUGCUGUUAGCCUAGAUAACUCGUCAGAUACUUCAUGCUUGGCCUAUUUACACCCUGCUAUUUGUGCAUCUUUUUUGCAAGCCCAGCAACCAUUUCUAUCUCCUCCGGUUCUUCUUUAGCUACCUCAAAAUCUAAAAUUUUAAGGAGAUGAUUGUUUUCCAAUGAUGAGAUGAAAAUGAUGUUACGCUUCUCUCCAGGCAUUAGAGUUUGGCUUAUGUCCUGUCAGAAGUUCCACGAGAACUGCUCCGAAGCUGAAGACAUCACUCUUUACUGUUAAAUUACCUGUCAUAAGACACUCACUAUCCAGGUAGCCAAAAUUCCCCAUUAUUUUUGUGGCUAUAUCAGCUUCACCUGGUGAAAUCAGCUCUGAAGCUCCAAAAUCAGCUCCGGAAGUAUGUUCACUGUCUUGACAUCCCCAUGAACGAUUGGAGAGUUUGCUAAAGAACGCAAAUAAUCAAAGUGCAAGUGCAGUCCCAGCAGCUACUCUCAAACGGUUUGUCCGAGUUCUCAACACUUGAGACUUUUAUCAUGGAUAUGAUGAAAAGUGUGAUGUUUUGUAUUAAAGGGAUAGGAAAAGCCUAGAAAGCCCUUGAAGGCUUAGAUGUAGGAAUAAAUUAAAUAAGGGUAUAGUAGUAACUAGAUAAAUAAUUGAUAAAUAUAAAUAGGAAGUAAAAAAAAAAAAAAAAAAAGGGAAAGUGAUCUGAAAUUAGAGAGCAGAACCGUGAGAGAGAAGAGAGAAAGAAGAAGAAGAGAAAAGAAGGGAAAAUAAGGGAAAAAGGAAGAGUUUUGGAGGAAAUAAGUGAAAAAGGUAAGAUUUAGGUUGUUUAAUGUGUAUAAUAUGUUAAUUAAGCUUUAAUUACAGUUUUUAUGAAUGUUAGGGUUUUGAGAAUUUGUGUUUGAUUUAAAUUGAUGAAUUAAUUUGAAGGUUAUAAGGUUAAUUGUUGUGGUUAAUUGAUGAUUUAGUUGAUUAUGGAAGAUUAUGAUGAUUUUGAGUUAUAGAAUUGUGUAAAUGGUGAAAAUUGAGUUAGAAAUCAGGGGAGAACAGUGGGGUUUCUGUUAAAAUCUGGAUUGGAGGUUGAAGAUGACGAAAAUUCAAUUUGGUCCCUCAAUUUCUGAAAAUUUCAGUUUAGUCCUCCAAUUUGACAAAAAGUACGAUUUGACCCUAAAAAUUUAGUAAAAUUCCAGAAUGAUCCCUGAAGCAUAAUGAUACAUCCUGGACAGAAUUGAGGAUUAAUUAAGGUCAGAAUUUCAGUAUAUUCAUGGAUUUAUGACAAAUUUCAGUUUGGUCCUCCAUUUGACAAAAGUUACAAUUUGGCCCUAAAAAUAUGGAAAAAUUCCAGAUUAGUCCCUAGCUGUAAUAUUAGCUUUUGCAGAUUAGUUUGAUGAAUAAUUAAGGGUUAUUUAGUGAAUUAUUACCAAUUUUAUUAGUUGUUUUUAUUAUGGAUUAGAUUUCGGGAAAACCGUUAGAUUUUGGGUUUUUAAGAAAAUUGACUAGUUAGUUCAAAAAAUAUAGGGUUACGAAUACACCCUUAGUUAAGUGUAUUAAAUAGAUUAAAUGUUCUUUCGAGUCGUUUUUGAAUAUGUCUCCUUUGUAUUCAGAUAAUCCUGAUAUUCUACCGGCAGGACGUCAGUAGAAUUUCCUUCGGUUUCAGCUUGUGUGUGUGUUUGCUUUUGAGUCAGGUGAGUGGAUAAUUUUCCAUAUGCAUGAGAAAUAUUAUAAAUAUUUGAUUUGUUAAUAUGAAUUGGAUCAUGCUUCUUGAUAAUAUAUAUGCUGAUUAUUAUCCUUGAUAUGAUAAAGCAUGAUCAAUUAUUGAAUCUGAUUUCUUGAUAUGAACCAAUAUGAUUUGACUUCUGAAUUGAUAGCUCCUCAUUUGAUGGAUGUCAUGAGUUGAGCUUUGAGAUAUGAAUAUGUUUGUUUGAUUAUGAUUAUGAACCUAUGGUAUGUCAGUCAGAAUACCCAUGCUAACAGGGUAGUGUUAGUCUUUGUGCACAUCGUAUCUGAACCCUAGUUGGUCGGGGGAGUCACCAACCUGUGUGGACUGAUCAUCCCACAGUACGGAGCCUCAUGCUCAUUGCAUUUUGAUUUUCUGACGAGUUUUACCAUAUGAUAUUCUUGUUAUGGCCUAUUUGAUAAACCUUCGUAUAAGAACUAAAGCCAUACUUGUAUAUAUAUUUCUCAUUGUUAUAUUACCUCGUAUGUGUAUAUUGAAUGUUAUCUAUUCACUGAGUUGUUGAACUCACCCUCUCAUUAUUUAUUCUUUUCAGGCUUAUAGCUUGAUAGCAGGUUACUUUUGUUGAACCUUCCGAACCUACCUUUUGGUUGUAAUUUGUACCUUCCUUUUGUGUCAAGUUAGUGCUCCAAAACUAUGAAAUUAUUAACUCUUGUAUUAAGACAAUCGAAUUAUAUUAUGAAGUUGUUUGUUGUUAAUACUGCGUUAAACUCUGAUUGAGUUGUUUCAAGGAUUGUAUGUAAGUUUGGGUUCACAUAGGUUUGGAACCUUAGAGGGGAACCUUGCCUAUGUGCCGGUCAUGGAUCCGGGAUUCGGGUCGUGACAAAAAAGGGUUCCGUUAGAGAUGAAUUUGUAAACUAGUAAAGGCUCUUUGGUCUGCAAAAGUAGUCCGAGUAGCUUUUAACCACGUUCUUGCGAUUGACUUGUAGCCAAUUUCUUGCUGAAAUUCCUUGUUCAUUUGAGCCUUGUCUACUCCCUUAAACUUCUUGACUGCAAGUUGGGUAUAAUAUGGUAAAACUCCUUUGUAUACGCAGCCAAAACCACCUUGGCCAAGUUUCUGGUGAUCAUCAUAAUUGUUCGUUGCUUUUGCCACCUCUGUUCUCAUACUAGGAGUAGGGUGUGUGUGUGUGUGUAGGGACGGAUCAAUUAAUAUAUAAUCUACAAUUAUAGGGAAAAACUUAUCAAAACUGUUAAUAGAUGUAUCUUUGAAGCAUAAAAGGUGAAUUUAUCUAAUCACAAGAAUCUCAAAUCCAAAUGUUUGUUUAUAAAGAAGUUAUUUUGAUUUUUUUCCGCAUGUUAAGAAAUUCAGCAUGGGGUAGUAGUGAAUCAAAGGAUAACUGCAUUUACAUGUAGAAUCCAAGAAUUAAUGUGUGCUAGCUGCCCGGAGGGCUGAAGACUAGAUUACCUGAAGCUACUGUGGCGAUACCGCAGAUGACCAUCUUCUUUAGUUCUGAUAUAAUAUUGCCUUGAUCAAUGAGGCAACCUUUCAAAGAUACUGUGGCACAAUCUUUUAAAAUAUGAUUUUCCAAGAUUUUUCUUCAACUAUACUAUUUUCCUAAUAAAAUUUUUCUUUCAACAAUACUAUUUCACCAAAUAAGUUAGUACCUAAUCAUGCAAUCUAUCAAAAAAUAACAAGUUUCUAGCUAACAUAACUCCUAUGUUAUGGCAUGCAAUGGAUAGACAUAUCAAAUCAACAAUCUCCAUACUAGCUGAAACUUCAAACAACAAUCUGUUCACAAAAAGAAAAACAAAGCAAAAAUCAUGACUCCGCUAAAUGUCUUGGAACAUUACAUGACAUGCUGAAACCUAUCGUUGUUCAAAAGCAGAUUUUCUAGCUAGCAUUGACAGGCUUAGUAGUGAGUCCAAAAUCAUAGGAGAAGAGGGGAUCGUAAUGAGAGUCACCAACAUUCAUAUGGAGCUGAUCAACGGUCUUGAACCAAGUCCGGGGUAAAAGGGAAAGUCUUCAAUCAGGUGCAUCACUGCCCUUUAAUCCUGCAAAUCAUAGCUGCAACACAAGCCUGCAAUCAGGAACAAGAGAUAACACUCUGCCUUGAAUUAUGCAGAAUACAUCAAGGCUGCAAUUGUGGUUAUUAUUUAUUGUAACAACUGUGUAAUAUAGAAACAACGGUUAUAGUAGCUAUCCAGGUACAGCAGCUAUAAUUUCGGCCAGAAACUUGUUCUUCAAAAAUCAAACAAUGACAGUGUAUAUAAAUUUAUCAAGCAAUGUAUGAAAACUCAGGCGAGAAUAAUAAGAGAAUAUCAAAACUUAUCAAGUGCUCUUUCCUCUUUACGGGGCAGCUUUCCAGUGAAUCCAUCAUCCCCGAAAAGCACAUCUGCUACUCCUUGGCCUUCAGUGCCUGGCAACCAAGCAGCAACAAGAGCAUCGAUUAUUGACUCAGGGCUCAAUCACGACUGGACGACCAGAUACUGUGACAACAACGCACUUAACAUUGCCGCGGACAUUGAGGAUCGUCCUUGGACCUGGUUCAGCUAUGGUCAGGUUCAAACUGUCUCCAGCUGUCUCGGCAUAAGGAGUCUCUCCGACCACAACAAUGGCAUAAGAGAAGUUGUUGGACUUGACGAAAUCAGCAUCAGGGUUCUUGCUGUAAAUGAUUUCUGUGCUUGGAUCUACUGCGGCUGAGAUACCACUUAAGAUGGUGGUUCCGGCUCAUUGUGCGAUAGGACAAACUCCAUCAAUACUCCUACUAUUAUAUUUGAAUUCAAGAGAAGCGUGCUUGAAAUGGAAGCAAAAGGGAGAAGCAGUUAUACCAGCAGUGUAAUUGUUGCCAUCAACGCCUUGCCAAGUUGCAGUCCAUCCUCCACACUGAUAGCCCAGAUUGGUGGCAUGGCUUGCGGCUACAAGGAUCCAAGAUGCUUUUUUAGGGAGGGGUAGAACUGGAGCAUCCGCGUUCUCUCCAUUCUUCAGCAGCACAAGGAUCAAAGAAAGGACUCACAAGACUUCAUUGACCUGAUCAUCUCAGAAUUGGUCAUAUGAUAAGUAUUUUCUGUCAGUCUCUCUUUGCUAUAUAUUGUCUACCAGGAAAUGAAGUUGCACAAUUAAAAAUUAGCGGGAGAGAGUUGGUUUGGAGAAGGAGCUUCUUUGUAUACAUAUAUUAAGUUGGGUGGUGGUGUAUAGAAAAUGAUGCUUCAGAGGUGGGUGAUUUUGCUGAUGAUGUUGCUACUAGUGGCUGCAGUAACAGGAGCAACAGCAAAUCCAGAUGUGAAACCUGGCUGCCAAGAAAGGUGUGGGGAUGUUAUUGUUCCUUACCCGUUUGGGAUUGGGGAACAAAGAUGCGCCAUGAAUAAACACUUCUUUCUAAAUUGCACUUCUACUGAUAAUGGUCAUCAUGAACUGUGGUUUGGAGAGAACAUGCCUGCUCGCAAUACAUCAUUGCUGAAUGGCACAGUCACUGUAAGCAUUUUUACACCGUUCGAUUGCUAUGACAAGUCAGGGAUGCAGUCGCUGCUUUUCAAUCAGUCUAUUACACUUGGACCAGCCUACACAUUUUCAGACUCUCGAAAUGUGUUCACAGCAGUUGGUUGUGAUACAAUUUCCAUGGUGACCAACGAGGAGGAGAUAUCCGGCGAUGCUUGUCUCUCUUUAUGCACUGUAAAUGUUACCAUGUCCAAGGAGAAUCCCUGCUCAGGUUCUGGAUGCUGCCAGACCUCGAUUCCCAAGGGUCUCAAGUCUCUGUAUAUUACCAUUCAGAGCAUUCGCAACCACACGGAUGUUUCCGAAUUUAACCCUUGUGGCUUUGCUUUCCUUGAGGAUACUCCCUUGACCUGUCGGAUUGGCAACUCUCUCGUACUCUAAAACCUUAAUAUACAUCAAAUGUUGUGAUCGAAUGGGUAGCUCAAACCGAGACAUGCUAAGAGGCUCGGGCCAAUAAGAGUUCAUAUGCUUGUGGCAUCAAUAUAAAUUGCUACUAUACUCCGAUAAUGGUCAAGGAUAUCGCUGCGCAUGCAAAGCAGGAUUCGAAGGAAACCCAUAGAUAUGAAAAAGGAUGCCAAGGUAAAGUGACAGAUGCCUUCAGUAGUGAAGUGAUUGAAAUUAAAAGACUGUUCAUUUUUCUUCUCAGAUAUCCGUAGUCCUGCAUGCCAGAACUUCUUAGAACUUUUACUCGUGUUGAAUCAAAGGUAAAUUCAUAAUUUGUUAUGUUGACAGAUAUCGAUGAGUGCAAGGAUGCCGGCAAGAGACACCCAUGCCAUGGUAAAUGCCACAACACCUUUGGGGAUUACGAAUGUAAAUGUUUUUUUUUUUUAAUUAACAUGGGUUGGGACUACUUUGUGUUCCCAUUAACUAAUUUCAUUAUAUAAAAUUUUAAUGAUUCCAAAAAAAUUCAAACCCGUAAUUCUUCGAAAACAAAUUCAAGGUUUGGCAUCAUCACAAUUAUUAUUUCAGGUAAUUAAUGUGCAUGCACUUCAAUACGUGGCAGGGCAGUGGCAGUGGCAGAUGUUCCUUGUUUUUCAAAUAUCCUAUAUGGAGGGCGGAGCUAGAAUUAUUUGUUAGGGGUCAUAAUUAAUAUAAUAAAAUAUAAUAUUUAUUUGACUUUAUUGUACAUGAGUUGUAAAAAAACCUGUAUAAUUUAAUUUUAUUCAAAUAACUUACUAUAAACAUAUAAUUAUCUUUGUAUGAGGUAAAAGGUUUGAAGAAAUAUCAAAUUGAGUCAAAGUAACGAAGUUAAUUUCAUCUUCAUAAUAUAUUCAUCACUUUAAUGUUAGUCUUUAUAUCUAUCAAAUAUAAACAUACAAAGUAUAUAAGAAACAUUAGCUAAAACGAAGUAUUAUUUAUGUUUGAUAAACUUUGAAAUAAAGCAAAAAAUAAUAAAGAGUUAUUCUCACUAAUCAACGCGGGUUCUUUGUAAACUGAGACGCAUUGGAGUUGCUCAAUCAUAACUUUAACAUUACACAUUGGAGUUGGUUCACUAGGCUGCGAGUUAUCAAUAUUUGUUUUGAAAAAAAAUAAAAUUCUUCUUAUUUUGUUCAUGGUUCAAUCUAAAAUCAAAACAUAUAUCGUGAGAAAAAAUUGAUAAUUUUGAUGAUUCUGCUAAAAACAUAGCAUAAAAAAAAAUUAAAGUAUAAUCAAAACAAACCAAUGAAAUAUAUCUAAUGAAUUAAAAAAAAACAAUAUAACAAGAAUUCAAAAAACAAUUGGUAAAAUUAGCAGAUCUAAGAAAAAAAUAAAGCAAAAAUGGUAGAAUUAUAUAAAAAAAAAACCUCAUCAAAUUAUUAACAAACAUCUCAAAAUAAAAUAAAAAUAGAUUUUAAAUUUAAAUUACCUUAUUUUGUUUAAUGAAAAAUAAAUUAAUUGAUGGCUCUAUUUCAAUUUUUUCAUUGAAAAUUUUUACUUAUGAUUUAUAUUUUUAUUUUUGUUUUUGACCGACUGCAAAAUUUAUUGUGCAAAGUAAUGAAUUUAUAUUUAUAGAAUUUAUAUUAGGAUACGUAAAUUAAUUUUUUUAAAAAUCAAAUUAAAAAAUCACAUUUAAUUAAAGUAAAAAAACUUUUGUAAAAUAAAAAACUUCAUCCACACUUAAUUACCUCUAUAUAUAUAUUCUCUAUACGUCUCUUUCCCUUCUCUGUAUCACUCUUGCCUGCAACAACUAUUAAUACGAGACUUGGAAUAGAAAUUCAAGUCAAGUGAUGUCCAUCAUCCAAUUUUUCCAGGGGCGGUAUAUAUAUAUUAUACCGGGGCGGAAUAUUUUAGGGGGACCCGGGCCCUGCUUAAACCCCCCCCCCCCAUGUAAUUUAUUAAUGAAUCCAUCCAUCCACCCAAAAGUCCAAAACAAUAAGCUGGCCAUCAUUUACUAGGGCUUUGCCUUUUGGGUUCAAAACAAAAGUACCGAACUAGUUUAUUUUUUAUUUUAAAAAAUAUUCAAAAUAUUAAAAUCGUCAAUCGUAGAGUUUUAUUUGAAAUAAUUGAUGGCCACUUCCCUCGCCACUGCUUGGUUGCAUAUGCCACUCAAAUUCAAUAUUUAAGAACAAGUUAUUCUAACAUAGAAUUAAAAAAAAAAAAGUGGAUCAUCUUAGUCUUUUUUGAAAAUUUCAUGAAACAUAAAAAAUUAAUUGUUUAAAACAAAUUUUAAUUCCUUAAAACUUUAAAGGAAUAAGAAAAUUUCAAAAUUGCAUAUUGAUUAGCAUUUUUUGCAAUAUAAUAAUGAUUAAUGACUCAAUCGUAUAAUAUAAUAUGUAUAGAUAUUCAUAUCUAUUAUAUUAUAACAGAUGGCCAAGGUACCGUGUACAAAGGGAUGCUAGCAGAUGGAGUAAUUGUUGCGGUCAAAAGGUCAUGGGAUAUGAGGAGUUCCCUUUACCAUGGGAAAUGAGAUUACAGAUUGCUGCUGAAACUGCCGAUAUCGGGACUUCAAGAUCACUCUCCGUUGAUCAAACUCAUUUAACGACUAAUUUGCAAGGCACCUUUGGUUACUUGGACCCAGAAUACCUUUGGUCCAGUCGGUAUACAGAUAAGAGUGAUGUCUAUAGUUUUGGAGUAGUUCUUGUUGAGCUCCUAACUGGACAAAAAGCAAUUCUUACAAACGAGUCACAAGAACCCAAAAACUUGGCUGCACAUUUUGUUCUUUUCAUGGAAGAGAACAGAAUUUUUGAUAUUGUUGAUGCUCAAAUUAAGGAGCACUGCCCCAAGGAGGAUGUCAUCGGUGUAGCUAAUAUUGCAAUGAGAUGCUUGAAUUUGAAAGGAAAAAAGCGACCGACAAUGAAACAAGUCACAUCAGAGUUGGAGAGGAUCAUUCAAUUGUCACAAAAUAACGAAGAAGCUGAGAGCAUCACGGCUGAAGUAAUAAGUGCGAGGGAUGAUGCUUCUACAUCAAUUACUUGCAGCAGUUUUCAAGUUGAUCAAGCUCUAUCAUCAUCUGAUGUCGAACCUUUGGUCCCUUUCAAGACUUGGUGAUCCAUUAAUAAGAAACGUGUCUUGACUCUGGAAGUUUUUCCUUUGUCUUUUUUCCUAAUGUUCUUGGAUAAACUUAAGACCAUUUGUUUCGGUAUUUGUUUUGCGAAAAUGCUUGAAGUCAUCGGUGUCACUGUUUUUUCUUCUAUAUAUAUCUUGCUCACGUUCUCUUAAUCUUAUUAUUUCUCUUCUCACCUUGGGAAAAUAUAGCAAAUCACAAGAAGAAAUGGAGUGAUCUUGGUGUGCCUAGAAAGGACAUCUUUGAAUGCUUGAGUUUCUGGGUCAUCCACUGAAGCAAAAUGGAAACUGGUUUUUUAGAGUCCCUCCUCAGAUUGUUGCUAAUGGCGCCAAAGGCUGGGAUUAUUGUCUUGUAGGCUAAUUUAUGGGUAAAAGUCCCAAGCUCUCCUCUGUUAUGCUGGCCAGAUGGUCCUGUAAAAAUAGUAUUAAGAUAUUGCAAGCCCAUUUCGAAGAAAUUAGAGAAAUUGAGAUCAAUAAGUUGAAUUUAAUUAGAUGAUAAAAGAAUAUGCAAGAACUGCGAACAAACAAUUCUAACAAAAAAAAAACCAUGAAACCAUGGGAAAAUAUUUAUAAAGAUUCAAAAUUAGAUAAAAAGGGAUAAAAAAAUCUAAGUCAACUCGAGAUAGUGCGAUAAAUAUAUAAUAUAGAUAAUAAUAGGCAAAACUUAUGACUCAUAUUAUAAGAUCAAGAUAAUUCUAUAUAAAAAAAAAUCAAAGAAAACAAAAGAGUUAAUUCUUAAAAAAAAAAAAACACUAAUGUUGAAUGAUGAUGAAAUAGAUAAUAAGGGGCGAGUCAACCUAUAGUUUUCCACAAAACUCAUAACCCAGGUCAUGAGAUUGGGAUAAUUCUAUAGAAAAAAAAUCAAAGAAAACAAUGAUAAAAUUAAAAAAGAAAAUAAGUAAAAAAAAAAGAUGUCAACUAACAUCAACUUUUUAAACAUGUGACCCGGGUUAUUAAACCGAAAGCAUCAUGCUUGGAAAAAUGGUGAAGCAUAAUCCUUAGCAAAUCAAACAUUGAAGAAUGAAAUAGGGGGAAAAAAUUAACAAUACAAAAGGAUCUAAAUUAAAAAAUGAUAAUUAAAAGAAUGAUGGUGAAAAUAAAAAUAAAUUAGAGGGCAAUUAAAUUUUUUUGAAUGGAGGGUUAAAUUUAAAAGAAAAAUAACUCUAACAAAAAAAUAAAAGAAUGUGGACCAAUGUUUUUUUUAAAAUAACACACCAUGACUUGGAUUGAAAGAUACAAUUGAAAACUAUUAAAAUUUUUAUAAAAGGACCAAUGAAAAAAUUAGAAAUUAAAAUAAUAAUGAUCAAAUUAAAAAAAAUUGACAAAUUAUAAUUAAAAGAAUACAUUGAAAAGAAAUAAAACUUAUGUAAAAGGGCCAAGGAAAAAACUAAGAAAUUAAAAGAGAAAGGACAUAAAUUUUUGGUUGGAGAGUUAAAUUUGAAAGAAAAAUAACUCCAACAAAAAAAAAAAAUAAAGACCAAAUUGAAAAUAAUAACACAAUAUAAACUUAAAAUUACCAGACAACGUCGUACGCUCUAGCAGUUUUUUAAAAUUUAAUGUUAAUUUUUUUUUUUUUUGUAAAAAUAUCUUAAUAUUCUUAAUAAAAAAACAACUUGAAUAAAUAAAAAACGCAUUGUAAGAUAUAAAACAAUCAUCAAAAGAUUUCAACUUAUACUCGAAACAACACAAAUCAUACAUUUAUUUUUGGUAUGUUGGUAGAUGAGAGAAUUUGUGGAGGCUUACCAAAAAAAAAAGAAUUUGUGGAGUACUUUGAUAAAGUCAACUUUUGGGGUUUUGCCCAGGCGUGUAUAUAUAUAAUUAUAUAUCCUGUAAUUUUGGAUUUUGACUGCGGCAACGGGGACUCUUUCUAGGUGGGACCCUAUUUUGUAAUUAUUUUAGAAUGUCUAAAUGAUUUAGAAUGUCUAAAUGGUUGAAGUCGUAGCUAGGGGAAAUAACCAUACGAGAUUAAUAAUACAGUGAAAGAGGUUUUUAAUAGAGGACAUAAACAUAGCUUAAAAAAAAAAAAUCCUGAUUAAUUUUUCUCUAGAGAAAUUACAAAGAAAAAGGUGUAAAUUUCGGACAGUCAAACAUGCUCAGCUUGACAUGUUCAGUGUUUGAGUAUACUACUAUAUAUGAGCCGAAGUCUUCUACAAAUCAUUUUCCUCACCAUAUUCAAAUACAAUAAAUCCAUAUUCAAUUCAUCGUUGCGUCUCACAUCACAUUUCGGAGAGAGUUGGUUCGGCGCUUCUUUGUAUACAUAUAUUAAGUUGGGUGGUGGUAUCUAGGAAAUGAUACUUCGGAGGUGGGUGUUUUUGCGUCAUUGUCUAAUGACUUAGGAUGGGAUAUUUUUUAAUAGGAUUAAAAUAAUAAUACAAGAAAAACAGAAUAUUUAAAAGAACUGGGAGCACAGACGUCGGUCUACAGCCGUUCCAUGCCAGCUGAUGUGAUCACCAUAAGAUAAUCAACGAAGAAGUUGAGAGGUCGGAGUAAGAGCAUCACAGAAAGGAGUAAAUAAAAAAAAUCAUCAAAAUAUAACAAUUAAAAAAACAAUUGAAAAACUAGCACCCUUUGAGUUUGUAUUAAUUAAUCUACUAAUCAAUAUACUCCUAAAAAUAUAUUUUUAAUAUUAUUAUAUUAAAAUGAUCUAAAAAUAUUAAAAAAUUAAUUUAAAGCACGUAGAAACAACAUUUUUAUUUUUUAAAAAAAAAAGUUUUGAAAUGAAAAAACAAAUGGACACUUGGUCCCUUGACCACUUCCAGGGAGCACUAGCGUGUAGUGUAUUCUGAGGAGGGAUUCUUGUCCUAUUGGUUUCUUUCACAUCAUUUAUUUUAGUCUAAUUACAUCACAUUUGGGUUAAUUUUGGAUUACUACUAAAGAAAGAUCAAAGAAAGGACACUCAAGACUUCAUUGACCUGAUCAUCACUGAAAUGCAUGCAAAUCUUGUUUUCAUUUGUAAUUUGCCUUCUAUUAAAUAGGGUGAGCAGAAGUAUUUUGCCUACAGCAUCUUCUAUCCUCGAGAAAAUGGGCAUGCUCAAAUUUAAAUAUCCUCAAGUUGGUUUUGGUAAGUAGGUUUCAUUUACAGGGCAAGGGGAAACACAAUCAAUGAAGCAGUUAUCAGGGGGUCAGAAAACUGUAGUAGCCCUGACAUUGAUAUUUGCCAUACAACGAUGUGAUCCUGCUCCCUUUUAUCUUUUUGACGAGAUAGAUGCAGCACUGGAUCCCCAGUACAGGACUGCUGUUGGAAGUAUCCUAUUUCCAUGUUGUUUUGCCAUCUCCCUAAAGCUUAAAUGGUUUCUAUUUUGUGGUCUUGUUUUGGCUAUUUAGCUAUUGUUUAUUCAUCAGAUGUAACCAUUGGAGGUGAUCCUUAAUUGCUUUGUUCGCUAGACAUGAUUCGUCGCCUGGCUGAUAUGGCCAACACACAAUUUAUAACCACCACUUUCAGGCCAGAACUUGUGAAGGUUGCUGACAAGUUAUAUGGGGUGACACACAAAAACAGUGUGAGCCGUGUCAAUGUUGUCUCUAAGGAAGACGCGCUAGAUUUUAUCGAGCACGAUCAAUCUCAUAAUGUCGAACGAGGUCGGACUAUUUUUAACACUAGCAUUUUCUUGUUUAUUUGAUAUUUUCAAUUGAUUUUAGUGAUGAACCAUUACUGAAAUGAUCUGAUUCAUCUUUAUGGCUGGUGCAGCCAAACUCUGAUGGUCUGACGGAGGGCUGAUAAAUCGAUCUAUACGAGGAUGCCGUGAUAAAUUUGUUUGCUGUUACCAUGUUCUAUAUUUUCUUUUCUGGAAUCUCAAGAUUGUAUAGAAAUAGAUGUUAAACAGCUCAGAGCUAUAUUAGCACAGCUUCUCAUGUCUUUCUUCAAUAUUAGCAUAGGAACUAGUUCAGUAUCAAAAGUGAUGGAAACCUUGGAGAUCUGCAGCUGUGCGGAUGUUUUACCUAGCCAAGUAUACAAACCAUGUUUUUCAAUAUGUUUUGUUAUUUACAUUUUGGAAAAAUUCUCUUUCUCGGCACUGUUGCUGAAUGGAUUUCUACCGCUUCUAGUUGCAUUCUCCCAAUUAAAAUUCAUGCACAAGUUUUCUAUCGCUUCUAGAUGAAUUCUUCUCAUUUCAGUUAACCUUCCUGAACGGUGUUUUGAAUGUUUUCCCACUACAAAAGCAGAUCGAGCAAUCUCUGCUGUCUAUGACAAUCUUGAUGCUAUUAAGGGUUCAGCAGAUACCGAUGAGUCCAUUAUUCUUCAUCAGCAUUGGUAGCAAUGAUAUUCUUAGUUAUUACCAUUCAAACACUAGUGUACCCGAGCAAGAGUUCAUGUCUGCUUUGGAAUUUGAAUGCGAGAAACACUUGAGGAUAAGGUCCUCCUCUUUCCUGUCUGUUUGGUCCAUAAUUCUAUCAUAUUGUUCAAAAGCAUACUGAAUAAACUUUUCUGCCCUGUUGAUUUUUGCAAAACCUACGUAAGCUUGGAGUAAGAAAGAUUGCUGUGGAGUUAAGAGGUCCGCGGUGAAGGCAUCUGCGACAAAAUGCAAAUCUCUGCUGGAAUCGCCAUGAAUAUUAAUUUCAAAGAAUUGGCUGAGGCAUGGUUAGCCAAAACUAGUUCUUAAAGAUCCCUCCACGACAGUAAUUAUAAGAGCAUCUUCUAGGAAUUAGCCAAAUAAAAAAUAAUGAUUUUAAUCUCUUAUUUUUACGGCUUCAAGGGAAGAGCUGCAUUGGAGAGUUUAAAAUAAGAGUUAUUCCUCUGUAUUUAUUAAAAGUGCUAAAAUUUUAUUUAAUAUAUUUUUAUGCAAAAAAAAGGAGUUUUGAUUAAGAUCUUGUGUUAAUUAAUUACAAUUAAUAAAUAGUUUUUUUAAUAUCAAAUAUAUUAAAAUACAAUUGAUUUUUCUAAAAGAUUUUUUUGACAAUUAAUUAAAGUGUACAUAUAGAAAUAAAGAAAAACUACAUUCACAAUAUUCAAAAACCUAUUUUAUUAAAAUAGUAUCUCCCCUUGUAUCAUUAUUACAUGCUUGUACAGUGUGUCAGUAUAGUUUAUGUCAUUACGAACUUAAAUUUGUAAACCAUAUUCUAUUUUCUCUUAAUGACUUCAAUUGAUUCAUCAAUCUAGGUCUCCACAAAUAGCAAAUAAUAAAUUAUGAUGUAAUUGUAAAUCUUUCUAAAAUUGUAUGAUGCAAUUAUAGUUUUAGAAUCUGGCAUGACCCGGCAGGUCGACACAGGAUCCGGUCAAUUUAGGGCUAAAACAUGGUCGAAUUAAAAAACAAUAGGGUAAAGAAAAACUCGGUAUUAUUACCUAGUAAAAAACAUGAUUGCAAUCUAUUAAUUUUUAUUUUUUUUAUUUAAAAUAAUAUUAUUUUGAUUUUUUAAAAAAAAUAACUCGACUAACCGGCUAAAAUUAAAUAAGCUGAUUAAAAUUUAAAACCUAAAUAUUGAAGUAGGCUGGAUCUAAAUUAUAAAUACAAUGAUUAAGUUGUUGACGUGGACGUAAAGCAGAUAUGUUUUAUAGAUGAGGUAGACAAAAUGAAAUUUUCUUUUCCCUGUCUGUUUCUCCUAAUGGUUUCUUUCACAUCAUUUAUUUUAGUCUUCAUGAUUCAUUAAUUAUUGGGGCCUCAUUGACUCAUGACUUCGGAUGGGAUAUUUCCGAACUUGAAAGAAUAUAAAUCUAAAUACAAUAAAUCUAAUUACGUCACAUUUGGGUUAAUUUUGGAUUGCUACAGAAGAAAGAUCGAACAAAGGACUCGCAAGACUUCAUUGACCUACAAGGUAGCUAAGAGAGAUUUCGACUAUUAACCAAAAAAAAGACUUCAUUGACCUGAUCAUCUCGGAAUUGGUCAUAUGAUGAGUGUUUUCUGUCAAUCUCUCUUAGCUAUAUAUUGUCUACCAGGAAAUGAAGCUGCACAAUUAAAAAUUAGUGGGAGAGAGUUGGUUUGGAGAAGGAGCUUCUUUGUAUACAUAUAUUAAUUUGGGUGGUGGUGUAUAGAAAAUGAUACUUCAGGGAUAUUUUCCAGUAGGAUUAAAAAAAAAAUACAAGAAAGACAGAAUAUUUAAAAGAACUGGGACCACAGACGUGGGUCUACACCAGUUACAUGCCAGCGGAUGUGGUCACCAUAAGAUAAUCAACGAAGAAGUUGAGAGGUCGGAGUAAGAGCAUCACAGAAAGAAGAGUGGCUGAACCAAGAGGGUUUUUUUUUAACACAGUAAAUUCUUAAUUACAUUUCAGGUCUUAGAAUAUAUUUAAGAGGGAAUUUCAUUCAGAUUUCAAAAUUCGUAGGCAUAUCAUGGGCUGAAAAUGACGUGGGAAAGGUGCUGCCAAAGCUCCCAUUUCCACGUUAAAUCUCUCCCAUUCCUGAGAUAAUUAAAGAUAUCAUUUAGUAAUUUUGGUGCCAGUGAUUUACUUCCAGUUUGCCAUUGUUUUACCUUAUGUUUUUCAAAGUGUUUUUCAUUAAAAUAUAUAUCAAAAUAUUUGGCUGGUGCAGCCAAACUCUGAUGGUCUGACGGAGGACUGAUAAAUCGAUCUAUACGAGGAUGCCGUGAUAAAUUUGUUUGCUGUUACCUUGUUCUAUAUUUUCUUUGCUGGAAUCUCAAGAUUGUAUAGAAAUAGAUGUUAAACAGGUCAGAGCUAUAUAUAUUAGCACAGCUUCUCAUGUCUUUCUUCAAUAUUAGCCUAGGAACUAGUUCAGUAUCAAAAUUGAUGGAAACCUUGGAGAUCUGCAGCUGUGCGGAUGUCUUACCUAGGCAAGCAUGCAAACCAUGUUUUUCAGUAUGUUAUGUUAUUUAAAUAUUGGAAAAAUUCUCUUUCUCGACACUGUUGCUGAAUGGAUUUCUAUCAGCCUUCAUGUCGCGCUUCUAGAUGCUUUCUCCCAAUUCAAAUUCAUGCACAAGUUUUCCUUUGGGUACGAAGUAAUAUUCCACGAAAAUCAUUUUUCUCACAGUCGCCUCCCGCUUAACCGGCGCGAGCAUGUGUUCUCGAUGAAGUCCAUGGCACUACAGUUUUUCAAAGAGGUAUGAAAGCCUUUUCAACCCCUGUUGUGAAUGCUAGUGCUUUGAGCUAGUUUCUCCACUUUGCUGAAAUCCUAGUUUAAUGCUAUUUCUUGAAAUCACAUGCAACUCUCACCUACGUAGAAAAGGUGUUCAAUUACUUGAGGUCAAGGAAAGUCUUGAGUGUUUGACAGCGUAUGAUCUUCUACGAAUUACUAGCAUGUAAUAAAAAAAGAAAAGAAUCUUGAAAGAAGAAAUCGUAUGCAUGGCUUGUCCUCUGCUUUGUUGCAAGCAAAACAUCCCUUUUGAGUAAAGACGGCGAGGGCUUGUUUGGAAACGCUGCUGUUUCAAUCGAUUAAAAAAACAAUUGUUCAUUCUCAAAACGAUUAAAAAAAAAAAGAAUUCAAAAACCUUUAAAAACGCUCUGUGAAAAGAGAAAACAAACACGCUUUAUGUUCAUAAUUCCCAAGAAGUAAAUCUUCCAAUGAGGAAAAGGGAACCUGGCUUGCAGAAACAAUAAAAUAUUCCAAAAUGGCUGCCUAUGUGGUGGGGUAUGCCGAUAGAACUGUAUUCUAAGGAGGGACUUUUCUUCUCAUUGCCUGUUUCUCCUAUAGUUUCCUUUCCUUCACAACAUUUGUUUUAGUCUUCAGGCCUCAUUGACUAAUGACUUAGGAUGGGAUAUUUUCCAAUAGAAUUAAAAAAAAAAUACAAUAAAGACUGAAUUUUCCAAAAGAAUUGGCCUCAGAUUUCAAAAUUUGGAGGCAUAUCACGGGCUGAAAAUGACCUGGGAAAGGUGCUGCCAAAGCUCCCAUGUCCACGUUAAUCUUUUUCCCAUUCCUGAGAUAAUUAAAGAUAUCAUUUAGUAUUUUUGGUGCCAGCUAUUCACUUCCAGUUUACCUUGUUUUAUUUUUAAAAGUUUUUUUUAUUAAAAAUAUAUAUUAAAAUAUAUUUUUUUUAUUGCAUGAAAAAUAUAAUGUUUGGGUAAUUGGUUCAAAUGAGUUUAAUAAAGUUAGUUAAUUUAAUAAUAUUAUUAAAAAAAUAAGAUUUCAACAAAAAAUAAUACAAAAAAUAAACUUUUACCGAUAUAAUAAAAAUAUAUCUUCACAAUAUUCCCAAAAUAUCUCAAUAAUCUUAUUUAUUAACAAAGUAAAAAUUAAAUGAGAAUAUAAUAAUUAUAUAAAAAAAUAAAAAAAUAUGAAUAAAUAAAAUUAAAUAUAAAAUCAAUUAUUAAUAAUUUUUUAAAUUAUAAUCCGAAUUAUAAAACUGAAAGCAAUAAAAUUGAAUGUUGCUAAUGGCCCCAAAGUCUGCGAUUAUUGUCUUGUGGGUUAAUUUAUGUGUAAAGUCGCAAGCUCUCCACUGUUUCGGCCGUGGCAAAUACUCUAUGGAGCCCGGCUGGUCUUGUUGAAGUUUACUAUGAUAAAGUUAUUGAGGAAAGAGAAGUAAAUUUUCCAUACCCAUUUUUAUUGAGGAAAAAGAAUCUUAGCUUGCAGAAACAAGAAAAUAUUUCAACAUGGCUGCCUUUGUGGGAUAUAGUGUAUUCUAAGGAGGGACUUUUCUUUUCCCUGUCUGUUUCUCCUAAUGGUUUCUUUCACAUCAUUUAUUUUAGUCUUCAUGAUUCAUUAAUUACAUGGGUCUCAUUGACUCAUGACUUCGGAAAGAAUAGAAAUCUAAAUACAAUAAAUCUAAUUACGUCACAUUUGGGUUAAUUUUGGAUUGCUACAGAAGAAAGAUCGAAGAAAGGACUCGCAAGACUUCAUUGACCUGAUCAUCUCGGAAUUGGUCAUAUGAUGAGUGUUUUCUGUCAAUCUCUCUUAGCUAUAUAUUGUCUACCAGGAAAUGAAGCUGCACUAUUAAAAAUUAGUGGGAGAGAGUUGGUUUGGAGGAGGAGCUUCUUUGUAUACAUAUAUUAAGUUGGGUGGUGGUGUCUAGAAAAUGAUACUUCAGGGAUAUUUUCCAGUAGGAUUAAAAAAAAAAAAAAUACAAGAAAGACAGAAUAUUGAGGAAAGAGAACCUUAGCUUGCAGAAACUAGAAAAUAUUCCAAUAUGGUUGCCUUUGUGGGGUAUAGUGUAUUCUAAGGAGGGACUUUUCUUUUCCCUGUCUGUUUCUCCUAUUGGUUUCUUUCACAUCAUUUAUUUUAGUCUUCAUGAUUCAUUAAUUAUUGGGGCCUCAUUGAGUCAUGACUUCGGAUGGGAUGUUUUCCGAACUUGAAAGAAUAGAAAUCUAAAUACAAUAAAUCUAAUUACGUCCCAUUUGGGUUAAUUUUGGAUUGCUACAGAAGAAAGAUCGAAGAAAGAUCGAAGAAAGGACUCGCAAGACUUCUCUCUUUGCUAUAUAUUGUCUAACAGGAAAUGAAGCUGCACAACUCAAAAUUAGUGGGAGAGAGUUGGUUUGGAGAAGGAGCUUCUUUGUAUACAUAUAUUAAGUUGGGUGGUGGUGUCUAGAAAAUGAUACUUCAGAAGAGGAGGGUGUUUUUGCUGAUGAUGUUGCUACUAGUGGCUGCAGUAACAGGAGCAACAGCAAAUCCAGAUGUGAAACCUGGCUGCCAAGAAAGGUGUGGGGAUGUUAUUGUUCCUUACCCGUUUGGGAUUGGGGAACAAAGAUGUGCCAUGAAUAAACACUUCUUUCUACAUUGCAAUUCCACUGAUGGUGGUCAUCAUAAACUGUGUGGUUUGGAAAGAACAUGCCUGCUCGCAAUAUAUCAUUGCUGAAUGGCACCGUCACUGUAGGCAUUUUAGCAUCGUUCGAUUGCUAUGACAAGUCAGGGGGACAGUCGCUGCUUUCCAAUCAGUCUAUCUCACUUGGACCAGCCUACACAUUUUCAGACUCUCGAAAUGUGCUCACAGCAGUUGGUUGUGAUACCGCUGCCACGGUGACCAACAAGGAGGAGACAUUCGGGGCUGCUUGUUUCUCUUUAUGCACUGUAAAUGUUACCAUGUCAAAGAAUAAUUCCUGCUCAGGUUCUGGAUGCUGCCAGACCUCGAUUCCCAAGGGUCUCAAGUCUCUGAAUAUUACCAUUGGGAGCUUUAACAAUCACGAUGAUGUUUCCGAAUUUAACCCCUGUAGCUUUGCAUUCCUUGAGGACAAAGACUCCCUUGACCUGUCGGAUUGGCCACUCUCUCGUACUCCAAAACAAAAUAAUGAUACAUCAAAUGUUGUGAUCGAAUGGGUAGCUCAAAACGAGACAUGCGAAAGGCUCGGGCCAAUAAGAGUUCAUAUGCUUGUGGCAUCAAUACAAAUUGCAAUUACUCUGAUAAUGGUCAAGGAUAUCGUUGCGCAUGCAAUGCAGGAUUCGAAGGAAACCCAUAUCUUGAACAAGGAUGCCAAGGUAAAGCGACAGAUGCCUUGAGUAGUUACGUAAUUGAAAUUAAAAGAUUGUUCAUUCUUAUUCUCAGAUAUUGAUGAAACAAAACAACUUCUAAAUGCGUAGAACUUUUCUAGAAUUUAUAUUCGUGUAGACUAAAUUGUAUUGAAUUAAGGUAAACUCAUAAUUUGUUAUGUUUGCAGAUAUUGAUGAGUGCAAGUAUCCUGAAAAAUACACAUGUUAUGGUAAAUGCCACAACACCAUUGGGGAUUACGAAUGUAAAUGUUUUCUUGGCAUGCAUGGUGAUGGCAAAGUAGGUUGUCAAGGAUUUGCUAUCACUACCAUUAUAGCAGGUAAAUGUCCUUUGCAUUUUUCUUCUAUACCAGUGGUUGCUAUUGCUUGCUUUGACUGCUUCCAGAGCUCCAUCUUUUAGUACUCAGGGAACCAAUAAGCUCCUGCUAUUGGAUUCUGCUUUGCAUGAGAUUAGCAUAGCCACUAAAUAUGGCAUGGAAACGUUUCUGUUCAAGAGAUUCAUUUGUUUUCCGUUGAUUUUCUGUAUGCAGUCAUAGGCGCCAUAGUUUCCCUGGUGAUUAUUUGUCUAUUGCUCUUCAUGAUCUUGAGUAAAAGAAGAAAGGACAAGAACUUCAGAGAAAAUGGGGGAACGGUUUUAAAGCAUCAAAGAGUAAGGAUUUUCAGUGAGGCAGAGCUGACAAAAGCAACCGACAAUUAUGAUGAUGAUAAAAAAAUCGGGGAAGGUGGUUUCGGUUCAGUUUACAAAGGAGUUUUAGCAGACAAUACAGUAGUUGCUGUCAAGAAGUCCAAGGGGGUGGACAAAGCUCAGAUGAACGAGGAUUUCCAACAUGAAAUCUGCGUUGUUUCACAGGUCAACCACAAGAACGUGGUAAAACUCCUGGGCCUGUGCUUGGAGACCAAAGUGCCAUUACUAGUUUACGAGUUCAUCUCAAAUGGAACCCUUUUCAAGCACAUCCAUGACAAAAGGUCACAGGUAUUGGCUUCCUGGAGCAAUCGUCUGAGGAUUGCAUCGGAGGCUGCUCUUGCGCUUGAUUAUUUGCACUCUCUAGCAGACCCUCCAGUUAUUCACGGAGAUGUCAAGUCGGUGAACAUUCUAUUAGACGAUAAUUACACGGCAAAGGUAGCAGAUUUUGGAGCUUCGGUGCUUAUUUCUCCAGGCCAGACCAAUAUUUUAGCCACGAAAAUACAAGGAACUUUCGGCUACCUGGAUCCAGAGUAUCUUAUGACGGGUAAUUUAACAGAAAAAAGUGAUGUGUAUAGCUUUGGGGUAGUUCUUGUGGAGCUUCUCACAGGGGAGAAGCCAAACUCAAAUGCCAAGUCAGGAAAUAAACGGAACAUUAUUCAGUACUUCAACUCAGCAUUGGAAAAUAAUGAUCUUUUUGGAAUUUUGGAUUUUCAAGCAGCUGAUGAAGCUGAGAUGAAUGAGAUAGAAACUGUUGCUGAGCUUGCUAAAAGAUGCCUGAAUAGCGUAGGAGUAAACCGUCCAUCCAUGAAGGAAGUGUCCGAGGAGCUUGCUAAGCUGAAAGCCUUUAAUCAGAAAUCAUGGACCCAGCAAAAUAGCGAUGAG